UCUCCUCACGGGGGUGCCUUCCAGGAACCAGGCCACUUCAGGCUUUGGAAUCCCGGAAACUACAGGGCCAGAUUGUGAAAAAUACCCAGGCCAAAAAAAGUAACAAGAGCAAAGAUGAAUCGUUUCUAAGAAGAAGGAGAUGCAGAACAGAAAAAUCAGAAGAAAAGAGAGGGACAAAGAAGGAGGAAGGACUGAAAGCCACUUCCCUUCCUGACCCCCGAGUUCCUGCUCCAGUAAAGUGACAUGCAGCCCCUUCCCCAUCCCUGCACUCCCUCCUCAGCCCGGACUUGAGGAACCAAAGAACUGUAAGGAGGAGACGUGUUCAACAAGACUUACAAGGAAGAACUGACAGGGCUGACGACUCAAGGAGAAAGAGGCAGGGGUCAAAAGGAUGCUGGAAAGUCCAGUCUGGGUGUGAAGGAACAUGGGAACCCUGGUAGAGGGGGUCAAGUCGAAGGAUCGCCUGACUUGAAAGACAGAGUAAAUUAUCAGUAAAUUCUGGGCAGGUUAAAUUUGGGGUGAUGGCAAGACGUUAGCAACAUUCAUUCUUCCAGUUGGCAACCACAGAUACAAAAGGGAGUCCGGGUGAGAAGAAAGGACUGAAGACAUGGUGGGGGAGACUAUGGGAACACAAGGGAAGGUGGCAGCCAAGCACAGGGCAUCUUCCCUCGUGGCCAGGUCUGCGCUGCCCUGUUCACCCUUUCUUCUUGUCAAAGACCUGCCCCUUGUGGCCGGGCGUGGUGGCUCACACCUGUAAUCCCAGCACUUUGGGAGGCCAAGGCAGGCAGAUCACUUGAGGUCAGCCUGGCCAACAUGGUAAAACCCU
RNAcentral lists this long non-coding RNA (826 nucleotides) under Homo sapiens (human). RNAcentral describes it as "HSALNT0059747". The record is from RNAcentral. Lineage: Eukaryota; Metazoa; Chordata; Mammalia; Primates; Hominidae.